ACUCCUACGGGAGGCAGCAGUGGGGAAUAUUGGACAAUGGGGGCAACCCUGAUCCAGCCAUGCCGCGUGAGUGAUGAAGGCCCUAGGGUUGUAAAGCUCUUUUGUGCGGGAAGAUAAUGACGGUACCGCAAGAAUAAGCCCCGGCUAACUUCGUGCCAGCAGCCGCGGUAAUACGAAGGGGGCUAGCGUUGCUCGGAAUCACUGGGCGUAAAGGGUGCGUAGGCGGGUCUUUAAGUCAGGGGUGAAAUCCUGGAGCUCAACUCCAGAACUGCCUUUGAUACUGAGGAUCUUGAGUCCGGAAGAGGUGAGUGGAACUGCGAGUGUAGAGGUGAAAUUCGUAGAUAUUCGCAAGAACACCAGUGGCGAAGGCGGCUCACUGGUCCGGUACUGACGCUGAGGCACGAAAGCGUGGGGAGCAAACAGGAUUAGAAACCCCGGUAGUCCCAU
This 447-nucleotide ribosomal RNA is filed under the name uncultured organism. RNAcentral's name for it is "partial 16S ribosomal RNA". It matches the Rfam family "Bacterial small subunit ribosomal RNA", at positions 335 to 798 of the family's 1533-position model. The record is from RNAcentral.